This 275-nucleotide small nuclear RNA is filed under the name Nannospalax galili (Upper Galilee mountains blind mole rat). RNAcentral describes it as "7SK RNA (ENSNGAG00000002934.1)". It matches the Rfam family "7SK RNA". Rfam says of the family: 7SK was discovered as an abundant small nuclear RNA in the mid-70s but a possible function has only recently been suggested. Two independent studies have found that 7SK RNA binds the CDK9/cyclin T complex (known as elongation factor P-TEFb). The record is from RNAcentral. Lineage: Eukaryota; Metazoa; Chordata; Mammalia; Rodentia; Spalacidae.
GGAUGUGAGGUCAAUCUGGCUGUGAAAUCUGUCACCCUGUUGAUUGCCAGGGUUGACACCGCUGCUCUGGCUGGUUAGGCAGGUGUCCCCUGCCUCCCUCAACACUCCAUGCAUGUCCCUCCUGAAGCUAUGUGCUUGGUUGAAGAGAUUGACCUUCCCUGAUAUAGGAGAACCAGUCUUCAGUCAAGGGUAUACAAGUAGCUGCCCUCCCCUGCUAGAACCUCCCAAACAAGCUCUCAAUUCUUUUAAUUAAUUAAUUAAUUAAUUAAUUAAUU